CUCUCUAGUGACCGAUAGUGAACCAGUACCGUGAGGGAAAGGUGAAAAGCACCCCGGAAGGGGAGUGAAAUAGAACCUGAAACCGUGUGCUUACAAGUAGUCAGAGCCCGUUAAUGGGUGAUGGCGUGCCUUUUGUAGAAUGAACCGGCGAGUUACGAUUUGAUGCAAGGUUAAGCAGUAAAUGUGGAGCCGUAGCGAAAGCGAGUCUGAAUAGGGCGUUUAGUAUUUGGUCGUAGACCCGAAACCAGGUGAUCUACCCUUGGUCAGGUUGAAGUUCAGGUAACACUGAAUGGAGGACCGAACGACCUUACGUU
This 314-nucleotide ribosomal RNA is filed under the name Staphylococcus aureus. RNAcentral's name for it is "partial 23S ribosomal RNA". It matches the Rfam family "Bacterial large subunit ribosomal RNA", at positions 473 to 790 of the family's 2925-position model. Lineage: Bacteria; Bacillati; Bacillota; Bacilli; Caryophanales; Staphylococcaceae. The record is from RNAcentral.